Molecule: long non-coding RNA, 1435 nt
Organism: Microplitis mediator
Lineage: Eukaryota; Metazoa; Arthropoda; Insecta; Hymenoptera; Braconidae
Exons: 4
Source: RefSeq, a predicted model, not a curated record
CUACGUUGGAAACAGAUCAAAGAAACUUGUCGUUUCUCUACAAAAAUAGUUGACGUAAAUUAUAAAUUUAAUUGUCAACCCUAAAAAAUUAAUUUAUCAUAAUUUAAUUAAUAAACUAGUUUGUGUGUCCAUCAAAUUGCCAGUGGAAAUAUUAAAAUGAGCAACAAUGGCCGCAGAUCUAUCAUCAAUCUAACCUAAAGUUCAUUUGUCAAUAAAAAUAAAUUGAAUAUAUCAAGAAUAAGACACGAAUUCGUAAAAAAAAAACAAUUCAGUUGAUCUAUAGAUAUUUUUAAUAGUCACUCGUUGAUUCGUCCAUUGCCUACUAAAUCAAAGGAAUUUUUUUUACCUUAACUUCAGUAAGAGGAUAUCGGCGAAUUGAUUGAAGCAGCUGAAAUUUCAUUCUGAUAUCAAUAAAAAAAAAACGAUUGUGAAGCUUCUUUACUUGGGGCAGUGAUAAAAACUGAGUUCUUCUAAAGUUUUUGUCAAAAAAAUGUAUCAUAGAUCAAGAAUACAUGCAACUGCAAUUUAAAAAGCGAAAUUUUAUUCCUGCGGAAUUGAUUUUGAAUUUAUUUUUUCAAGACUCAAUAAAUCUCUUUGUAUGAAAUCACAGUAUCAAAAAUCUUUUAUUAUUCCUUGAUUAUUAUUUGUUAUUAAGAUUAUUUCAUCAUUAAGUGAAGCAAAGGGCAUCAACUGAUAAAUCACAUGUUUUCGUAUGCUUCUGGAAAUAAAAAUUUAUUUCAAGAUACGCGCGGCUCAUUCUUGCGAAAAAUUUGUUACAUUUUAACAGAAAUUUCGAUUUAAGAAAAUAAUAGUAACGCAAAUGACUCGAAUUUACUUUUUAAAAGACAAUUUAUUACGAAUGACGACUUUAAUAUAAAAAAAACCUAAAUUCAAUGCAAAUGCAAUUACUAGCAAUUUGAUGGACGCAGAAACUAGUUCAUUAAUUAAAAUAUAAUAAAUGAAUUGUUUAGAGUUGACAAUUAAAUUUAUAAUUUGCGUUAACUAUUUUUGUAGGGAAACGACAAGUUUCUUUGAUGCAUAAACCACAUAAAUUAAUAACUUAAUAACAAAUAUUAAUUAACAAUAAUCUUUAUUUCAGAUUCGUAAAAAAAAAAACAAUUCAGUCGAUCUAUAGAUAUUUUUAAUAGUCACUCGUUGAUUCGUCCAUUGCCUACUAAAUAAAAGGAAUUUUUUUUACCUCAACUUCAGUAAGAGGAUAUCGGCGAAUUAAUUGAAGCAGCGGAAAUUUUAUUCUGAUAUCAAUAAAAAAAAACGAUUGUGAAGCUCUUCUACUUGAGGCAGUGAUAAAAACUGAGAUCUUCUAAAAUUUUAGUCUGAAAAAUGUAUCAUAGAACAAGACCACAUGCAACUGCAAUUUAAAAAGCCGAAUUUUAUUCCUGAAAAAUUGAUUUUGAAUUUGUUUUUUCAAGACACA